GGUAAACACCCCGGACCGCUACCUGCUGCAGGAUCAUUAAAGAGAGGGGCCCCGCGCUCCUGGGGACUCCGGUCCCCGCCUCUACACCCUGUGAUUAUCUUACCUUUUGUUGCUUUGGCGGGAAGCCGGCCCCCGGGUCGGUUGGUCCGCAGGGAUCACCCCGCCAGCAGCCCACCGAAACUCGUUUUAUGCGUGCCAGUCUGAGUCCAACUUUAUAAUGAAUCAAAACUUUCAACAACGGAUCUCUUGGUUCUGGCAUCGAUGAAGAACGCAGCGAAAUGCGAUAAGUAAUGUGAAUUGCAGAAUUCAGUGAAUCAUCGAAUCUUUGAACGCACAUUGCGCCCCUCGGUAUUCCGGGGGGCAUGCCUGUUCGAGCGUCAUUGCACCACUCAAGCGUAGCUUGGUAUUGGGUUCUUCGCCCGGGGUUUCCCGCGGCGUGCCCGAAAAGCAUUGGCGGUCCGGAGUGACUUUAAGCGUAGUAAAAUUUUCUCCCGCUUUGAAAGCCUCGCCCCGGGUCCGGCCAGACAACCCCCACAUAUCUCACGAUUGACCUCGGAUCAGGUAGGGAUACCCGCUGAACUUAAGCAUAUCAAUAAGCCGGAGGAACUUAU
RNAcentral lists this ribosomal RNA (611 nucleotides) under Ramalina pollinaria. RNAcentral describes it as "eukaryotic LSU rRNA". The stretch from base 227 to 380 matches the Rfam family "5.8S ribosomal RNA". Lineage: Eukaryota; Fungi; Ascomycota; Lecanoromycetes; Lecanorales; Ramalinaceae. The record is from RNAcentral.